UUAAUAAAACGUCUGAAAUAUAUUACUAAAUUUUUAAAACAAAUUCAAAGUAUUUUUCAUUUUAUAACUUACAAACGUAGUCUUCCUAUGUUUCGCAUCCGAGUGCCAUUAAAAAUAUAAUCGAGCGGUCAAUUUUGACUACCCGUUUUUAAAUGCUAUUACCUUCCGACUUUUCUAUUAAAAUUUGAUUGAGUAGAUGUUUUAAAUUUGUAUAUGGUGCGAAAAAAAUUAGUUUUAUAAUUGUUACAAAUUAAUUUAAUUAACACUAAACCUACCAUGCGCGCUCAGAUGACUGUUUUUGAAAUUUUGUUUAGAAUUUCUCAUAUACAACGUUACUGUAUCACUUUAUAGCUUAUUGUCUUGUCCUAUAAUAUGCAUACAACCCAUUUUUCAGUAUUCACAACUUUCGUUAUUGUUUACAAUCUGAUAAAAAAUUCAUAGCGUGUCUAAUCUACCACGAUUGAAAAAUUCAUGUUAUUUACGACUAUAUUCUUCGGAAAGCACUCUUCUGAAAUUGUUUUACGAGUCUACAAUGUAAUUGUGGAUCUACAAUGUAGAUAAACGAGCGAUUAUAUAGAACGAAUAUAUGAGUGAGAGUAGCUGACAAAAAUACGAUUCUCCAAAGUCUAAAAAUCGCGACAUUAUACCGAACGCGAUAGUUAGGUAGCUAUUGAUAAUCUUCUGAUGUUUAUCGAUGAAAUGAUACACCUUGAUCCUAAACAAAUAUUUUUUAUUUUUUGUAAAACCUUUUCUCUGGUAUCUUUCUCUUUGUGAAUACGAUCAGAGGUUUCUAUUACAAUAAAUACUUUAGGUGUUUCGACAAAUGGCGGAACACAAAUGCAUAGCGUUCUUUGAACGACAGUACGGUCUUGCAAUCCGAACAGUAGGCAUAAAUUUCACAGUGCAUAAUAAAAAUUAUUACGUCGUAUAAGUGAUAGUUUCGACAAAGUCAACAGAGUCAACAAUAUUUUGUGUUUCUACUUUAUCAUUUGUAUAUUCAUCCCCAAAAAUGACAAGACAUUCGAGGAAUAUCAAUUUAUUAGACAAAAUAAAUAAUAAUGAUGAGGAUCGUUCGGAAGCUGACCAAGAAGUUACCGAUAUUGAUGAUAUAGCAGAAAAUAAUUGUGACUUAUUUGACAGCGAUACAGACGAAGAGAAUAUUUUGAAUAUACGAAGAGGACAAAAAAAAAGAGAUUCAUAGUUAGUUCUGAAAGUGAAAAUGAGGAAGAGAUUGAAACUGCUAUGGACGGAGCUUUUUGGCAAAAAAUAAAAGAAGGAUCUAAUCGCGGAAGAGCACCGAUUUAUAAUAUUUUCAAGGAAAAAUCAGGACCGACAGAAUACACUAAACGAAAUAUUAUAAAGGGCAAAGUUGAGUCAGCAUUUUCCUUGAUUAUUGAUCAUAACAUGAUUGAACAUGUAAGAAAAUAUACAGAAUUAGAGGCAUUUCAAGUGUUGAAAACGAAAUGGAAUUUAUCUAUUGUAAAAUUAUAUGCAUUUAUUAGACUUCUAUAUGCAAGCUGCGCAUAUGAGGCUAAAAAUAUAGAUAUAUCAUAUUUAUGAAACACGAAAUGGGGUCCGUCAUUUUUCUCGACAACUAUGAGCCAAAAUGACUUCGCAGAAAUUAUAAGAUUUAUUCGGUUUGACAACAAAAAUAAACGAAGCCAACAUUUACAAAACGAUAAGUUUGCUUUGAUCUCUGAAGUUUGGUACAAAUUUAUCGAAAACAGUCAAAACUGUUAUAAACCAGGAACAUAUCUUACUAUAAAUGAACAAUUGUUUCCUACAAAAGCACGUUGUAGAUUUACUCAAUACAUGCCCAACAAACCGGACAAAUUUGGCAUAAAAUUCUGGUUAGCUUUCAAUGUAAAUAGCAAGUAUAUUGUAAAUGGCUUUCCAUAUUUGGGAAAAGAUGAAGGGAGAGAGUUAUCGGUCCCACUUGAGGAGUUUGUAGCUUUGAAAUUAGUAGAACCAUAUACAGGCCAUGGGAGAAAUAUAACAGCUGACAAUUUUUUUACAAGCGCGUCAUUAGCGAGUAAACUUUUAACAAAAAAAACUAUGCUUGUUGGAACUAUCCGUAGAAAUAAAAGAGAGCUACCAAAAUAAGCGAGACAGGUAAAGGAUAGUAUAAUGCGCUUCUCAACAAUAUUAUACAAAUCGAAUGAUUUUAUUCUUUCCAUUUAUAAAGCUAAACCGAAUAAAAAAGUAUUGAUACUUAGUUCAAUGCAUUCAUCCGUGGAAAUUGAAAAAAGUGACAUCCGUAUACCAGAGACAAUUAAAUUUUACAAUAGAACAAAAUUCGGUGUAGAUGUAACCGAUCAAAUGACCAAAAAAUAUAGUGUAAAAUCUAAAUGUCAAAGAUGGCCUUUACAGAUAUUUUUCAAUAUCUUAGAUUUAGCCAGGAUAAAUGCUUGGAUAUUAUAUAAAGAAACAACAGGUGAAGAAAAAUCGAGGCAAGAAUUUUUAUUUCAAUUGGCAGAAGAGCUUGGGACUGAAUAUCAGAAGGAGAGACUAAGCAAAAAAUGUUCAUCAAAAACUAUAAUAAACACAGCUACAGAUUCUUCUGAACGAAAAUCUUGUCAAAUAAGAUAUCGUAAAGUCAAUAAGACUAACAAAAUUUGUAUAAAAAAUAAACAAUGCGUAUGUGGAAAGUGUGCAAUUUAAAAUACUGUAAUUUGUAAAAAUUGUGCUGAAAAUGCAUAAAUAAAACUUUCUAAAUAGAAAAGCAGGAAACGGGUUUUUAUUGUAGCACCAGAAAAAUAUUUUGUUUACUAUCCAAUUGGCUAAAAUCUCUUUCUAUAUUAAGAUACAUAUGUUUUUUUGAAGCGGUCAUUUGACUGCUCAUGGUAGGAAUAGGUAUACAUGAAAUGUCAGUAGGUUUAGUGGUAAUUACAUUAGUAAAGGUCAGAGUCGGUGUUGCUGUUAGUUCUGUUCAGUUUAGUUUAGGAGCUUAUUCUGUACGGAAC
This 2963-nucleotide long non-coding RNA is filed under the name Polistes fuscatus (common paper wasp). Its description in RNAcentral is "uncharacterized LOC122522971". Lineage: Eukaryota; Metazoa; Arthropoda; Insecta; Hymenoptera; Vespidae. The record is from RNAcentral.